GGGGAUGUAACUCAGAUGGUAGAGCUCUCUCUUUGCCUGCGAGAGGUACUGGGAUCGAUACCCAGCAUCUUCA
This is a non-coding RNA of Cordylochernes scorpioides, 73 nucleotides long. The record is from the annotation of a GenBank genome assembly. NCBI's taxonomy places the organism in Eukaryota, Metazoa, Arthropoda, Arachnida, Pseudoscorpiones, Chernetidae.